AAAAAUGUCUAAAGAACCAAAACAGAUUCAAUGCAGUGACGGCAGAAAGUGUAUGGGCAUGAAGAUUCAAAGAAAAAGAUGCGGCCGUUGAAAGAUUUAUAUGCUCCUUUGCUCCAGGAGAAAUCUCUUGAGACCUCACUCAGAGUGCACAUCCUUACCACAGUACAAGGCUAAUGAGCUUGGAUCGAUGGUGUUCUCAGCCCAGUGGACUGAAAACAAUAGAUUGAAGAUUUGUGGCAACCCUGUGACUACCAACUCUAUUGAAACCAUUUCUCCAAUAGCAUGAGCUCACUUCAGGUCUUUGUAUCACAUUUUCAUAAUUCUCACAAUAUUUCAAAUUUAUUAUUAUUAUUAUA
RNAcentral lists this long non-coding RNA (356 nucleotides) under Homo sapiens (human). RNAcentral's name for it is "non-protein coding lnc-SLC2A13-3:1". Lineage: Eukaryota; Metazoa; Chordata; Mammalia; Primates; Hominidae. The record is from RNAcentral.